GGCGUGGUAGCCAAGUGGCAAGGCAACUGUCUGCAAAACAGUUAUACACCGGUUCGAAUCCGGUCCACGCCU
RNAcentral lists this transfer RNA (72 nucleotides) under Candidatus Omnitrophota bacterium. RNAcentral's name for it is "Candidatus Omnitrophica bacterium tRNA-Cys". It matches the Rfam family "tRNA". Rfam says of the family: Transfer RNA (tRNA) molecules are approximately 80 nucleotides in length. Lineage: Bacteria; Pseudomonadati; Candidatus Omnitrophota. RNAcentral also lists the same sequence under 1 other name. The record is from RNAcentral.